Molecule: long non-coding RNA, 257 nt
Organism: Jaculus jaculus (lesser Egyptian jerboa)
Lineage: Eukaryota; Metazoa; Chordata; Mammalia; Rodentia; Dipodidae
Exons: 3
Source: RefSeq, a predicted model, not a curated record
AGAACACCGAGGAGCAGAGAAGUUAAGGGUGGAGCAGAAACUCACACAAUAGGGAACAGAGGGUCAGAGAGAUAAAGCAUCACCUCUAAGGCCAUCCCAGAGAAGAGGCUGGAAGUUUUGUGAUAACGACAAGAGUGAGAUGCCUUCUUUCUUGGCUAUACUCAGCAGUUAGGCCAAUGGAUAUAUGCCACAUGGAAGCAGGCGUGAAGUCAGUUCAAAGAAAUAGACACAGUUCCUAAGGAGAGAACCACCCCACC